RNAcentral lists this ribosomal RNA (251 nucleotides) under uncultured bacterium. RNAcentral describes it as "partial 16S ribosomal RNA". It matches the Rfam family "Bacterial small subunit ribosomal RNA", at positions 525 to 775 of the family's 1533-position model. The record is from RNAcentral.
ACGUAGGGGGCAAGCGUUAUCCGGAUUUACUGGGUGUAAAGGGAGCGUAGACGGCGAGACAAGUCUGAAGUGAAAGCCCGGGGCUCAACCCCGGGACUGCUUUGGAAACUGCCUUGCUAGAGUGCUGGAGAGGUAAGUGGAAUUCCUAGUGUAGCGGUGAAAUGCGUAGAUAUUAGGAGGAACACCAGUGGCGAAGGCGGCUUGCUGGACAGUAACUGACGUUGAGGCUCGAAAGCGUGGGGAGCAAACAG